This 299-nucleotide signal recognition particle RNA is filed under the name Aotus nancymaae (Ma's night monkey). RNAcentral describes it as "Metazoan signal recognition particle RNA (ENSANAG00000006529.1)". It matches the Rfam family "Metazoan signal recognition particle RNA". Rfam says of the family: The signal recognition particle (SRP) is a universally conserved ribonucleoprotein. Lineage: Eukaryota; Metazoa; Chordata; Mammalia; Primates; Aotidae. The record is from RNAcentral.
UCUGGGCACAGUGGCGCGUGCCUGUAGUUCCAGCUACUUGGGAGGCUGAGGCUGGAGGAUUGCUCGAGUCCAGGAGUUCUGGGCUGUAGUGCACUAUGCCGGUCGGGUGUCCGCACUAAGUUUGGCAUCAAUAUAGUGACCUCCCAGGAGCGGGGGACCACCAGGUUGCCUAAGGAGGGGUGAACCAGCCCAGGUUGGAAAUGGAGCAGGUCAAAACUCCCGUGCUGAUCAGUAGUGGGAACGCGCCUGUGAAUAGCCACUGCACUCCAGCCUGGGCAACAUAGUGAGACCCCAUCUCU